UAUAAGAGCUUGAAAUAUAUAUUCACCUAGAAUGAUCUCAACAUGUCGGAGGUGUUGGAUAGAGCUCCUCAAGAUCUACAUUAUAAAAUCUUAUAUUACCCGGGUAAGGGCAAUGUGAUAGCUGACAUGCUCAACAAGAAAAGUGUAAGUAUGUUGACUCACUUAAUGGUUUCUGAAUGCAGGGUAAUAAGGGCUGCGCGACUUCAGAAUUUGAAAAGAGCUACAUACCUAGCCUAUCUAGUUGUU
Molecule: long non-coding RNA, 246 nt
Filed under: Carica papaya (papaya)
Lineage: Eukaryota; Viridiplantae; Streptophyta; Magnoliopsida; Brassicales; Caricaceae
Description: long non-coding RNA (CPAP_LNC012815)
Source: RNAcentral